GAUGAACGCUGGCGGCGUGCCUAAUACAUGCAAGUCGAGCGAACGGACGAGGAGCUUGCUCCUCUGACGUUAGCGGCGGACGGGUGAGUAACACGUGGAUAACCUACCUAUAAGACUGGGAUAACUUCGGGAAACCGGAGCUAAUACCGGAUAAUAUAUUGAACCGCAUGGUUCAAAAGUGAAAGACGGUUUUGCUGUCACUUAUAGAUGGAUCCGCGCCGCAUUAGCUAGUUGGUAAGGUAACGGCUUACCAAGGCAACGAUGCGUAGCCGACCUGAGAGGGUGAUCGGCCACACUGGAACUGAGACACGGUCCAGACUCCUACGGGAGGCAGCAGUAGGGAAUCUUCCGCAAUGGGCGAAAGCCUGACGGAGCAACGCCGCGUGAGUGAUGAAGGUCUUCGGAUCGUAAAACUCUGUUAUUAGGGAAGAACAAAUGUGUAAGUAACUAUGCACGUCUUGACGGUACCUAAUCAGAAAGCCACGGCUAACUACGUG
Molecule: ribosomal RNA, 497 nt
Filed under: uncultured bacterium
Lineage: Bacteria
Description: partial 16S ribosomal RNA
Rfam family: Bacterial small subunit ribosomal RNA
Source: RNAcentral